This is an RNA transcript of Callithrix jacchus (white-tufted-ear marmoset), 18889 nucleotides long. It is a transcript of the gene named solute carrier family 10 member 7, with no coding region annotated. Lineage: Eukaryota; Metazoa; Chordata; Mammalia; Primates; Cebidae. The record is from RefSeq and is a predicted model, not a curated record.
CCUACGUUCGUCGGCCUCGUCAAAGUUCUUCGUUUCAAAGCAUUUGCACCUGCGAGCCCUCGGCCGAGGCUCUGGGUGCGUUUGUGCGCGUGUAUUCGAAGGCGCGUGGUAGUGAUGGCGGCGCUCAGUGAGACUUUCCUGUCACUGGAUACUACUACUCCCAACCUUCCUCAAAGCUGCUGGAGCAACCCCCAGGUCUUUAGUUUACAAGUGGCAAUUUGACUUGCUCUGCUGCAUGUCUGGAGGGACCAAGGAAAGUGUGGAGACGCUCCAGGGAUUAGGUGAUCGCAGCUUGAAAAGAAAAAAAGCCAAACAAAUAAACAAAACCCACCCACCCUAACAAAUAUGAGGCUGCUGGAGAGAAUGAGGAAAGACUGGUUCAUGAUCGGAAUAGUGUUGGCGAUCGCCGGAGCUAAACUGGAGCCGUCCAUAGGGGUAAAUGGGGGACCAUUGAAGCCAGAAAUAACUGUAUCCUACAUUGCUGUUGCAACAAUAUUCUUUAACAGUGGACUAUCAUUGAAAACAGAGGAGCUGACCAGUGCUUUGGUGCAUUUAAAACUGCAUCUUUUUAUUCAGAUCUUCACACUUGCAUUCUUCCCAGCAACAAUAUGGCUUUUUCUUCAGCUUUUAUCAAUCACACCCAUCAAUGAAUGGCUUUUAAAAGGUUUGCAGACAGUAGGUUGCAUGCCUCCGCCUGUGUCUUCUGCAGUGAUUUUAACCAAGGCAGUUGGUGGAAAUGAGGACCCUCCUUGCCUGGUGUCAUUUCUUGAGCUCUCCUGGGAGGAGAUUAGUCUAAAACAACAAAGUAGCCAGAUGUCUGGUUCUGAGACAGUCCCAGAGGCCAGGCUACGGUAGGCAACAGAAAUCGCGUGGGGCUGAAGAUCAAAGAUACCUGAGAAUUACUUAUGGGCACAUAGUAUGUGUCAUUCCCAUUAUUAACAGUCUGAGAAAAUUUGUUUCCCUAAUUAACCCUUUUGUUGGAAUAACCUUAAAUUUUAGUGAGUAUAUUUCAGUUUUGAUAUGUUUUCUUUUGUGUAGUGUUAAGUACACACACCAAAAAAGAGAAAUGAAAAGGAACUCUCAUGCCUGAUUGAAAUCUCUAAGCCAUUAUUUUUAUCCCAAAUAUAUACGCUAUCAAGUGUCUUAUCAUUUAUCACGAAAUAAAUGGGCAUUACAAUUCUAAGUAAAAUUACAAAUCAAUAGUUAGGAACUAUAUGGUUUAUAUGUACAAAAAGCUGUUCUUAAAUUCCUACUCCUAAUCCUUUAAGCACAAUUAUUUCAACUUUUAACUGUUUUAGAGUGGUGAAUUUUAGAUCAUAGCUUCCUGCUCUUAAAAUGAAUUCAGAAUAAAUCCCAGUGGUGGGAAAUCUGUAUCUUAUUAAUAGUUGACCUCUUUCUUUUCACAUUGGUAUUAUUAAUGAAAUGCUAAUUAAAAAUUCUUGUUGUCCUUUACCUGUUUGCUUUUACAAUAUAAUCUUGCAUUACUUAGACAUAUACAAAAUUGGAAAAUACAAAUGCAUUUGCUGUUUUAGGUUAUUCUUAAUUCUAGAAACUCUAAAUGCUUUCAGCUGAAUUUAUCUAAGGAAUAGGCAAAAAUCCAAUUAUAACAUGAUUUUUUAGCCUCUGGAUGAGAGUGUUAGAAAACAAAAGAUUUUGGUUGACUUUGCUACCUGUUUUUCUUUCUGUUUAACAUUAUCAUGUAACAACAAAAGUAUGUAAAAGCCUCAUUCUUGCUUUUCCUGAGAUGUAAUCAUAAACCAUUGUUAUCAAGAUCACGAUUAGUCAGCUUUAGAGCUUUUAAGUGCUACAACACAUUCUUUAGCAUCUAGUAAUAUAAACUUGACAUAAAAGCUGUAAAAAUGUCUUUAAAUCUAAUUGGAGAUAUGUGUUAGCAAUUUAGUGCAGAGAUUUCAUAUUCUUUGUGUAGUGGUCAAGUCUUCUUUUAAUUCCUUGAGGAAAAUGAAGCUCCUAGGAUCAGUUUAUAAGGAUUAAUUGAUUUAUAUCUUUGUUUCUAGAUUUAAGUAUUGAAGCAAGAAUAAAACAGGCUUUUGUACAAAGAACUAGAGAAACAACUGUAUUUUUUUUUUUCAGAGCAGAAUUUGUUCCUUCAGUGACAAAGGAUGGUCUGUGUUUUUCACUCUUUACACCUGUGUUUCUGCUACUGGCUUCUCCCAUAGUGAGCAGCAUUUGCUAUCACUCAAGCAGUCUAGUUAACUGUCUUUCUGUUUUGAAUGCAAAUUGAGUCAGUGAUGGUCAUUUUACCAUAAAUAUUCCUGAGCCCUAAGAAAUGGAUUACUUUAAGCAAGUAGUAUAAGAGAAAACCAUAAUUCUCUCAAUUCCUUUAAGUUAUUUUUAUAGCAAUAUUUGAUAUGAGACAAUGCAAGUCAUAGUUCUAGAACUAAAGUCCAAAAGAAAGGAGAUCCAGCUUCCCAAUGGACUAUGGCUCAAGGUGCUGUUCGUGUUUCUCCUCUUCAGAAGUUGCCAAUAUUGCUGACCACUUAUUCUUAAUGUAUUUAUUUUGAAUUGCCUCAUUGGCCAUUGGUGCCCUGCCCCUUGCCUCCGCCUUAUUUACCUUAUGGACCGUCACUGCACGUAUCGUCUCUUUGUGUGGCAUGUCUUCCACAACACUGUGCAGAGAAGUGUUUAGUUGUCCUUUAAAGAAUGCUGUUCUCGUGAUCGUGAAGAAGCCUCAUGAGAUCUUACAGUUUUAUAAAGGGGAGGUCCACUGCACAUUCUCUCCUAUCUGCCGCCAUGUAAGACAAGCCUUUUGCCUUCCAUCAUGAUUGUGAGGCUUCCCCAGCUAUAUGGAACUGUGAAUCCACUAAACUUCGUUUUCUCUAGAAAUUGGAAAAUAAAAGGUAUUAUCAAAUUUAAGGAGGUAAAGAGUGUUCAUUUUCUAGUUGCUUCUUUACUUACUCACUCUACCUUCCUCGUUCAUAGAUUUCUUUUUGCAUUGCCUCCUCCUCUACCUUCUGUUAUUUUUUUUUCUUCAUUUUUUUAAAGUCGUAAUUCUGUUUCUUUAUCCUGUCUGUAGCUUUUCAGGAAGGGUUCUGAUGUUAAAUUAGAGAUAAAUUGUAAACGCAGGCAAUUAAGAACUCUUUCUAAAAACACCUUUAGUAACUUAAUGCAUAAUGAUUUAGUACUUGCAUGGGUGUUGAAAUAGUAAUCUGUAAUCUUUUUGUCAUAAAACUAUGUGCUUGCAAUAUAAAUUCAGUUGGCUUUGUUAAAAUGUGAAGUUUUAAUAUGUGUUUUAGUUUCUCUUAAUUUUAAAAGCUGUGUAUACAAUCAUAAAAUUUUCUUUUUAGUUCGUGAUCGCUUGAAAGGUUUUUUGAAGUAUUUAUUUACUUUUUUACUUGUUUGAUCAGUAUCUCUUAUUUUCAUUUAAAGUUAUAUUUAUUCUCAUCUGAGAUUUGGAAUAAUAGCUUUGAAACAUCUGUUACUGUUUAGAAUGGUGGUCUUUUGACUAAGUUGUCCAAGAGGCUAGGGUUGCAAAGUGGUAAGAUUAGAUCUUGGCAAAUGGGAGUGUCCUUUAUUCAGCGCAUAGCAUGUUGCUCAAGGGGGCAGUCGUGGAAGGCAAGGAUGUUUGGGGAACAAAAAUGAUCAGUCCUUGAAUCCUUGUGACUUCUAACUCUAUUGCUAAAAUAAAGAUCAACAUUUUAAAAAGCUGUAAUAGAACAUUAAGUAUUGCCAUUGAUUGUAUUCAAUAUGAGUGGUUGAGAGGAAACAUUUUAAGUGGAUUAUUUUUCUUUUGUUCAAGUAAGAUUUACAUGAGUAAAUAUGAAAUGAAACUACGGCUGAUAGAUAAUCAGAUACCUAAGAAUAAUGUUUGAGAAGCUGGGUUUCCUGACGAUAGGAGGCUCAGUUAUUUUAGCCUGGGGAUUUUGCCUGGGGAAAAAUCUAUGUGCCUCAACAGCUGAAGGGCUAUUCAGGAAGAAACAAAGUAAAAUGGCAUCUAUUUUAACAUGUAAUUUCGAUAUCUCAUACUUAAUCUUAUCCUUGGCAGAAAUGUCAAAAAAUGCUAGCUGCAAACCAUCUCUGAAGCCAUAUCUAUACCACCAGAUUGAACCGGGUAGAUAAAGUUCUUAGGAAUCAAAUGGUUUUCAUUGGAAGAGGAAAGUCCUUUUAGGUAAUUCUCUGGAGGGAAGGGAAUGCUCUAGGGAUUCGGUAUAAUCCGAAUGUAGAUGUGGCUUAUUUCAAAUAUAGGAAUGUGCAGGCUAAAGAAAUUGCUGGCGGGAGUUGGGGGCACAUUUAAAAAUUAGUAUAUCACACUUAAAUGUGUUUCCUUCACAUGAUUUUCUAUUUGUAUUUACUCUCACUUAAAAUUUUAAAUAAUAUUUUCUUCACUUAUCUUUACUUUUAUAAAUUUUAUAAGUUUUAUAAAUUUUAAGCUUAUCCAAAGUUGAAUUGCUAAUGCUGGAAAUCAUACUACAGUUCUGUCCUUAUUGCCUUCUUUACCACCCUUUAGGGACCAAAUUAUUCUAGCUGCAUAAGUUGCUAUUUAAGGUAAAAUCAAGUUCUUAGAGAUGGCAUAACUAGAUUUCUAUUUUAUAUACAUGCUUUUCUUUUGUUUACCCUAGAGUGGAAAUGUACCUCUUUAAGGAAUUAAAGUGGUAAAGUCUGGCCACUAUUUAUCCUGUCACCACAUGGCUGCCGUUGAUUGUUUUUUAAUCAAAAAUCAAGUUUCUAUACUUAAUGACUUGGAAGAUGCAUUACAUUUUGUCAAAACAUAAGAAUGCUUGAAGAAUAAAGAGCCCCUAGAAUCCCCAAAAGAUCAAGAAGGAGAUGUGUAUAAUUUUGUUGUUUAACACAUAUAUAAGCAUUAAUAUUUAUAAUGGAGUUUAGUAUUUUGUAUUUACACUUCCAUCAACAAUAUAUUGUAGUGUAUUGUUUAGAGACUAUUAAAUAGCUCAGGAUUUACUUACAGAAGAAAAAAUUCUUCUAGUUUUUUUUUUCUCUUUUAUUUGACUUUUCCUCAGGUUGUUUAAUAAAGAGCAAAUUUCUUCAAUAUGAGGAAGAUAUUUACUUUAUAUAAAACUCUGUCUGGUAUGUAUGGAAGUAAUCCAAAGAACUGACAAGUUGCAGAAUGGUCACUGUCACCUGUUUAAUAUGUUGCAAAAACUGUUAAGGUAACGGAGAUAACUGUGUGAGUGAAAAUUAGUGCCAUAGCCUUUGAUACUUAAUUUUUGCUUAAUUAUUAGAAUGUAUAUAAAGUAUAUCAGGUUGGUUGCUGUAAAUAAUGGUGUUGGUUCCUUAACAUUUAAAAUUCAUAGAACUGUUAGAUAAAUGUACUUUUGUUUGACCACAGGAUCCAUUUUUUAUUAAAAUGCCCAUAAAAAAAUGUAACAUUUCUAGAAACUCAUUUUUUUUAAAUGAUCAGCACAAAAUCAUCAGUACAAAAUGUUUCCCUAGCCAAAUUGGUAGUCUCAUGCUCUUUUAAAUAGCAUUAUUUAGAAUAGUUUUAAAACCACUUUUUCCCAUUAAAUUAAAUGUCAAAUUACGUGCCUUCUUUGGAACCUUUUUAAGGGGAAACUUCAAGGAAUGAGACUAUGUUUAAUUCACUGAAAUGAAUUAUGAUUUCAAACAUCUGUUAAGGUAUUUUAAAGAUGAUCUUAUGUAACGUGAUAAAUAGACAUUUUUAAUGGAAUAUACCCUUCAGCUUUUCCUUACUUGAUAUAUGUUGUAGCUUGGAAAGAAAAUCACACAUAGAUAAAAACAUUCUAGGAAUUAAGCAGCCUUAAAAUAAAACAUAUGUGUUAUACAUGCAAACAGUAAAAAGCAUGUCAGUGGGUCAGCCUUUUUUUUUUUUAAGAAAAACUAUCUUCAAUAAUCAUUUGAGAUUAAAAAAGAUAAUUUUGAAGUAUCUUUUUUGAUUUUACUGUCAGCCAGUUGUAGUAAUCUGUCCACAUAUUUUGCUCAUUGGAAUCAGUGUGCACAAAGGCUUACACUUUAUAGGAACCUUAGGAAGUGCUUGGAUUAGACUUAAAAACCACAUUUAAAGGAGACAUUGGUAUAGGAAUCCCCUCACUUUUAUCCCCGUGAGGAAAUAGUGAUGGCUGCCAUUUAGGGCUUCCUCACACUUCUAGUCCUCUAUAUUGACUGAGGAAUCUUUAGACAACUGGUGACCAAAUGGUUAGCUUUUUACCAACUUGGGCUUUUAUAUUUGAAAUUCACAUUUAGUCUCAUUCCUACCUACUGCUGCAGAAUGGCCUUUAGACAACUAGACUUAAAAAAGUUAAAAGGCAAUAAGUUAAUACCCUGGAAACGAUGCAGAAAUGUAUAUUCAAAUCAUAAAUAAGGAAAUGCAUUGAGUACAUUAAACAGACAUCGAAAAAUGGAUUUCUGUCUUUUGUAGUAAGGUAAUUGGGCACCACUGCUUGGCAGGAGCUGGUGCUAUUGAGCUAGCUCUAGCUGCCACAGGUUGAUAGGCAGGUGAUAAGGCAGCUUCCACCAGGGUCUGCACAGGAGGCCUACCUAAUAUGCUGUCUGCCCUAAGGGCCUAUGGGAACACAGUUGGAUUAUUAUGUUAAUGCAUGAGCCCGCUGCCCUCUUCCUAUCCCAGCUGGGUUCCCUGUUGUUAGGAACUGCUUUGCACUGACAGUGGAGUAAUAUGCUUCAUGAUUGAAAGGGCAAAGGGGCUUGAAAGAAAAAAAAAAAAAAGAAUAAGCCUGCACAGAUAUGUAAAUGAGGGAAGGAAAUCUGUAGGAAGAUUUCACUCUAAGUAUAUAGAGAAAGUUUAUUAGAAAGUUCUUCUUACAGCACUCUGUAAAACCACUCAUUUCUUAAUUAAUUUCUGGGUUUGCUUUCCUUCCUAACACUGUAUGUAUGCCGUACAUGGAAGUAUUUUUCUAAACAGGCACUUAACUUGAUUUGUUUUAAGCUAAGAUGCUCUAACACAUUUGUACCCAGGUAUAGUGCUGACAGCAGUGCAUUUUUUUUGCAUGUUCAUUAUUCUUUAAUGUUUGUUCCACAGUUAUUUCACUAUAUUGAAUAGAAGAGUUUAUUUUUAAGAUGCUGAAGGAUUUAUAUUUUAUAUUAAGAUGUCACUUUUAUUUCUCUUUAUUUUUGAUAUAAGUUUGGAAAACUGCAUGAGCUAUCUUUUGGGAGUGGGUGGGUAUGGAGGACAGGAAAUGGUUGGGUGGGUCAGAGGGAUAUUUUCUUGAGUUGAUGAAUUUGAUAUGAGUGGUGGUUCAAACAUUUUAUGUUUAGUUAAGAUUUUUAAUGUUGACACCUUAACAUAGUGAAAAGAGUGUGGGCUAUAUUUUAAAUACAUCUUAUGUUUUUUAGCAGCACAGCAUCUAUUGCAUGAAGUGAUAUGGGUAAAGAUGAGGUAUGCACAGUGGCUGGCACACAUAGAGGGAUUGAGAAGUGGUAGUCGUUGUUAGUGCUAGUGUUGAAUUUCCCAUAUCAACAUACCUGCCUGCAUUAGGCAUGCUUUGUAGAUCUGCAAAGAAUUUCAGAGUCAGCAAAUGCAGAAAGUUUGGGGCUCAUUAUAGGCUCCAUAGUUGAGUAGUAUGGUGAUCAUAUAUCUGGUGAAAAAGAAUUCACAUGAUUACUUUAAUGAAAAAUAUAAAUAUAUAAACAUAACUUUAACACUCUAGUAAAAACUUCGUUCAAGUUUGAGGUAAGUACCUUGUGAUAUAUCAGAAAAGAGACUUCUUUCUGAAAAGGUAAUUGUGCAUUUGACUUUAAAUAUUAAGAAUAAAGAGGGAAGGAACCAAUUCUAUCUGAGCAGUCCUUCUUUAUAGUUGUAGCAAAAUCCUUUUAUAGCAUGUCUUUAUAUUACCCAUUUAGUUAUGUAUACAUGGAGUAUGGGUAUGGCAUAUGUAUAUAUACAUAUGUAUAUUUACAUGUGUGUAUAAUGUGUGUAUCUGUAUCUCAGAAUCAGUACACUUAGGGAUAUUUCUUUUUCUUUUUUAAAAAAUUUAUUUAUUAUACUUUAUGUUCUAGGGCACAUGUGCAGAUCGUGCCAGUUUGUUUCAUAGGUAUACACGUGCCAUGGUGGUGCUUUGCUGCAUCCAUCAUCCCAUCAUCUACACUAGAUAUUUCUCCUAAUGCUAUCCCUCCCCAAUCCCUUGGCCCCCUGCUAUUCCUCCCCUAGCAACCCACCUCCCAGGCCCUUAUGUGUGAUAUUCCCCUAUCUGGUGUCUGUAUGUUCUCAUUGUUUAACACUCACUUUUGAGUGAGAACAUGCAGUGUUUGGUUUUCUGUUCUUGUGUUGGUUUGCUGAGAAUGAUGGUUUCCAGAUUCAUCCAUGUUCCUGAAAAGGACAUAAAAUCAUCCUUUUUUAUGGCUGCAUAGUAUUCCAUGGUAUAUAUAUGCCACAUUUUCUUCAUCCAGUCUGUCAUUGAUAGACAUUUGGGUUGGUUCCAAGUCUUUGCUAUUGUGAACAGUGCUGCAGUAAACAUACAUGUGUGUGUGUCUUUAUAAUAGAAUGAUUUAUAACCCAUUGGGUAUGUACCUAGUAAUGGGAUUGCUGGAUCAAAUGGUAUUUCUAUUUCUAGAUCCUGGAGAAAUCGCCAUACUGUCUUCCACAAUGAUUGAAUUAAUUUACAAUCCCACCACUAGUGUAAAAGCAUUCCUAUUUCUCCACAUCUUCUCCAGCAUCUGUUGUCUCCUGAUUUUUUUUUUUUUUGAGACGGAGUUUCGCUCUUGUUACCCAGGCUGGAGUGCAAUGGCGCGAUCUCAGCUCACCGCAACCUCUGCCUCCUGAGUUCAGGCAAUUCUCCUGGCUCAGCCUCCUGAGUAGCUGGGAUUACAGGCACACGCCACUGUGCCCAGCUAAUUUUUUGUAUCUUUAGUAGAGAUUGGGUUUCACCAUGUUUACCAGGAUGGUCUCGAUCUCUUGACCUUGUGAUCCACCCGCCUCGGCCUCCCAAAGUGCUGGGAUUACAGGCGUGAGCCACCACGCCUGGCCUGUCUCCUGAUUUUUUAAUGAUUGCCAUUCUAACUGGAGUGAGGUGGUAUCUUGAUAUGGUUUUGAUUUGCAUUUCUUUAAUGACCAGUGAUGAGCUUUUUUUCAUGUGUUUGUUGGCUGCAUAGAUGUCUUUCUUUGAGAAGUGUCUGUUCACAUCCUUUGCCCAUUUUUUGAUGGGGUUGUUUGUUUUUUUCUUGUAAAUUUAAGUUCUCUAUAGAUUCUGAAUAUUACCCCUUUGUCAGAUGGGUAGAUUGCAAAAAUUUUUUCCCAUUCUGUUGGUUGCUGGUUCACUCUACUGAUUGUUUCUUUAGCUGUGAAAAAGCUCUUAAGUUUAAUUAGAUCCCAUUUGUCUAUUUUGGCUUUUGUUGCCAUUGCUUUUAGUGUUUUAGUCAUGAUGUCCUUGCCCAUGCCUAUGUGCUGAAUGGUAUUGCCUAGGUUUUCUUCUAUAGCUUUUAUGGUGUUAGGCCUCAUGUUUAAAUCUUUAAUUCAUCUUGAGUUAAUUUUUGUAUAAGGUUUAAGGAAGGGAUCCAGUUUCAGCUUUCUUCAUAUGACUAGCCAGUUUUCCCAACAGCAUUUAUUAAAUAGGGAAUCCUUUCCCCAUUGCUUGUUUUUGUCAGGUUUGUCAAACAUCAGCUGGUUGUAGUAUUUCGAAAGGAGUUCUAAUUGAGCACAUUCUUUAAAAGUGGCAUUUAAAACAAUGUCUUAAGUUUGAACAAUAGUUGUUAAGUUGUUAAGACUUUGAAGAAAAGACAUUAAAGGAAGCACUAAGCCCAUGAGAUAGGAGAGAAAAGUCAAAGAAUAGUAACUUUUUUGUGUCCUCCUUCUCCAACCAAGUAAUAGUGCAAGCUCUGUAUACUGCCUGUGUUCAGAACAUACUUAGACAUCUACCCCAAACGUAUCCAUUCCACACUGCAUAGUUGUAUAUCUGCCUCAAACAUAGCCCAUCGUGGAAUAAAUAAUAAAUUCUGUUUUAAAGGAAGUCUGAUUUUAAAGGAAUGUCUUUGUUUUCUUUUUAAGUUGCUUUGGGCUGGGUGCAGUGAUUCAUGUCUGUAAUCCCAGCAUUUGGGUGGUGGCUGUGGUGGGAGGAUUACUUGGAUUAAAGACUAGCCUGGGCAAGAUAGUGAUACCUCAUCUCUACAAAAAUAUUAAAAAAAUAGCUGGGUGUGGUAGCAUGCACCUGUGGUCCCAACUACUCGGGAAGCUGAAGUGGGAGGAUUGCUUGAGCCUGGAAGGUGGAGGCUGCAGUGAGCCAUGAUUACACUACUGCACUAGAGCCUGGGUGACAGGGCAAGACCUAAUAAUGCAUAAAUGAAUAAGCUUUGGGUUUGACAUAUGCUAAUACUCCUUUAUAGGUUGAAAUGUUCUUGAGGACAGUGAUCAUAUCUUACAUUCAGAAAAUAUUUCUCUGUUUUUUAUACACAGUAGUUGUUUAUCAAAUGUCUGUUCACUGAAUAGUUGGGUUGAUUUCGAUGAUAGUAGGCAAAUUCAAGUAAAAGUAUUCUAACUCCAUGGAUCCUAGUGUCCCUUGUUUUCUCUUACUUCUCCUUAGUUCUCCUUUCAAGGAAGCAUUUCUGGUGUGCCCUUUGGCAUCUUCAUGCAACUGCUCACUGAGUUAAAUUUCCAGUCUCUCUGACACCAGUGAUAGUUUCUGCCUCUCCUGACCACUUUCCUGCCUUCACCAACCUUUUGUGCCUCUUUAUAUCAUCCGCAUGUUAUCAUUUUAUGAGCACAAGAAAGGCCAGAGUUGGAGAAAUGAUGACUGGGUUAGAGGAUAUUGGCAUAGGAAAAAUGCCAAGAUCUUGCCAGGGUGGUUUGUUUGUACCCUCCUAGAAGCCAUUACCUUCUCCAGUGACUGUGCGCUCCUUCUGAUUGUGCUCCCCAUUCAGCUUUGCUUUUCAGGAAACUUCAGGAGAACCCUGAAUGAUUCUUUUUAAUCCAAACUGCACUCCUAAUUAGAACUGUGAAGACCUCCAUACAGGUUUGUUUUUCCCUGAAGACCUUAAGGUACCUCCCACUCCCAACAAUGGUUAAAAAAUGUAUUUGUUGUUGAAUAUUUUCUGAAGCCUCACAAAUCUCUAAAUAUUAACAAAGAAGAACCACCUACAUAACAGGUUAUGAUUAAAAUCACAGUAAAGUAUAAAAAUUAAACACUGCCUUUUAAAAGCCUUGCUGAAUGGGUGCAGUGGCUCACGCCUGUAAUCCCUGCAUUUUGGGAUGCUGAGACUGGUGGAUCACCUGAGGUCAUGAGUUUGAGACCAAUCUGGCCAACAUGGCAAAACCCCAUCUCUACUAAAAAUAUAAAAAUUAUCCGGGCAUGUUGAUGCAUGCCUGUACUCAGCUACUUGGGAGGCUGAGGCACGAGAAUCACUUGAACCUGGGAGGCGGAGGUUGCAGUGAGCUGAGACUGAGACUGCACCACUGCACUCCAACAUGGACAACAAAGUGCUCUGUCUCAAAAAAAAAAAAAAAAAGAAAGAAAAAGAAAAAAGGGCAAAAAACAUGCUAAGGAGUACAAAAUUAUUUGUGUGUAUGUGUGUGUGUGUGUGUGUGUGUGUGUGUGUGUGUGUUUAAACCUCCUUUUUAGAGUUGACUGGAUAGGGAGCUUUAGAAACUUAGCGUUAUCUUUCUCAAAGGAAAAAGUAAUAGCUAGCUUAACUAGUCCCUGUUUUACUUGUAAUGCAUAGCAGCAAAAGUUGUGUGGACAAAUGAUUAACAGGAAACUGACACUGAAAGGGAGUGAAAGGCAGAACUUGAGUUUGGCUUAGUUUCCUUAAACAUAAACAUAGCCUGGGAGCUAACAAUCUGGUAAGUAUGUAAACAGACUCUGAAGAUGGACAGGAAAAGUUACCAAGAGGAAAGUGGGCAUAGAUUAAUAUACCAGAUCUUUACUUUAUGGUAAAUCCUGGCAUUGAUUAAGAAGAUCCUGGCUUUUAGCAAGCUCUUGGCCUCAGCAGAAAAGUCCUGAGAGCUCCAGGAAUGACACUUCUUGAAGCUAUCCAAGCUUACCACCAGAGAUAAAGUUGUUUUCUGGGGCCAUGACAAUCCUAACAGCCUGGUAGAGAGUUUAACAAUGUUAGUUAAACUUAACAUUGAAAAUGGGUGCUUGGUCGUAGGCUCCACAUAAGGUCUCACCUUUGCAGAAAUGAUACUAUCCUUUUACCAGAUGGGAGCAUGGAUUUAGGAGUCAAAUCCCAGUUUCACCACUGAUGCAUUUAAUUUAUUUCUCUCAACCACUUAAGUCUGCUGAGCCUUAUCUUUUACAUCUAUAAAAGGAAAUAAUCCGUAUAUUAUUGGGUUAUUUUGAGGAUUAAAUAAAAUAAUACUUAUUGUCUGACAUAUAGAAGAUGAUCAAUAAAUGUCAGCUUUUUUUUUUUUUUUCUGCUCAUGAAAUGCAAUUUUGAAGGCAAAGUUAAGAAAAAGAAGUUACUCAUUCCAUUAUAACUUCCUGGGUCAGAAAAACAGAUUUUUGUCUCCUGCCUUUACAGAAUUUUAUGCAUCAUCUCUCAUUUAGGACUCUGUGAGCUCCUGAUCUAGGGGGAGAAAAAUGAAAUUCAGUUUGGUUAAUAAAACAUCUUGGAAGGCAGUUUUUAAACUGCAAUGAAGCUAGGUUAAAUGGGAGCCAAGUGGGGCCAUUUCCAGGGGUUUUGGAGGUGAAGCAAUUUGUUUUUAUACUUGUAUCAGUGCUUUUACUCUUAAAUCUCAUUUCUAGUCCCUUAGGUUCUAUAAUAAAGUCUUCAGCACUAUACAUUUUUAUUAAACAUCUUCUUCUGAACUCCAAUUUGCAUUUCAGAUAAUAUAACAAAAUGUAUGUGUUUCAAAUAUUCACUGCAUAAUUGUGAUUAGAACAUGUAAUCCCUCAAAAGAUGUUAAUUGCAAUUUAAAUUCACACUGAAUUUAAUUAAGUGAGUUGGGGAUUAGAAAGUAGAUGUAAGGAGUAGUUAAGGGAAUACAUUUUUUAAAAGCAUUCACUUUUUUUUUUCUAAAACAUGUAAACCUCUUUCAACUUGAAGAUUAGAGCUAUAUAGAAAAUAUAGAAGAAAAGAAGAGAAAGCAGGUUAAAGAACAUCUUAGAAAAUUUUCAAACUAUAUUCACAGUUUGGAUUUAAGCUAUUAAAUAAUUGUGGUUAGGCAGGAGGGCUGGUUUGAACAACCUUCUCAUUUGUAUUCUUGAAGAGUCUUUCAGUACAUGUUAACUCACUUGAUGUCUGAUAAAGACUUAAGUUAAACUGAGAUAUUUAAGAACUGCAGAGAAUGACUGGGUAGGAAGCAGCCAGUGAGAUCUUUCCGUCCAAUUGUUACCUGAUGCUUCAAUCUUCCUUUUAAUCUCCUUGCCAAGGGGGUAUUUUAUGAAUAAUUUGAUGUAAUAGGAAUUUUGUGCAUGGACAAAUCAUGUUUAAUUAGUGUUUUUCUAUGAAAGCUUCACUGUUUUAAAGGAAAUAAAGAGUAACUGCAAGAAACACAGAUGUCUUUUUUUUUCUAAUGAAAUAAAGAAUCUUAAAACUUUAUAUUUAAGGUUAUAAAAAGUAUCAAGCACGUACAUCUCCCAGAGAGUGGGAGAAUAAAGUGUGCACAUUAUCUGUUGUUGAAUCAAAAAGCAGUUUUUCAAAAGGCUGCCAGAAUAACAUUGUACCUAUAAACCUUAUUUUAUUUAUAAAUUUUUCUAGGAAUAAGUUUUAUAAAAUAAGGAAUCAGGGAUCAGUUGUAAGAUGGUCUAAACAGUUUUAAAAGCAAAGUAUAUUUAUUAUUGUUAAGUAACUUUAUUGUUUUUGUGUGUGUUUAGAAGAGGAAAAAAUUAAUUCCACAAACUUGUUUUGAAUUAGUAACACCAUGAAUAUGAUGUGCACAUUUCUGGAGAGAGGAAGAGAGAAUAUGUGUUUUAAUUACACACAGUGGCUGUCUGAUACUUUGCUGGACUAUAAAUAGAUAACUUUUUAACAAAUAAAUUUCAGUCUUAAAAAAUGUUGCUCUUAGUGGAAAUAUUUCAUGUGAAAAAUCUAGUGGGAAACUCUAUCUUUGUUUAAUAAGAAAUUGAGUAUCUUGGCUGGGCAUGGUGGCUUACACCUGUAAUCCCAGCACUUUGGGAGGCCAGGACAGGCGGAUCACCUGAGGUCAGGAGUUUGAGACCAGCCUGACCAACAUGGCAAAACCAAACCUCUACUAAAUAUACAAAAAUUAGCUAGGUGUGGUGGUGGGUACCUGUAAUCUCAACUACUCAGGAGUCUGAGGCAGGGGAAUCGCUUGAACCCAGGAUGCAGAGGUUGCAGUGAGCUGAGAUCACGCCAUUGUACUCCAGCCUGGGUGACAGAAUGAGACUCCAUCUCAAAAAAAAAAGGAAAAAGAAAUUGAGUAUCUUAAAAAGAAUUAUGAAUCUGAGCUUUACAUCUGGAACAAAUUUCUUUGACUUUAUCAUUUCUAUUGUGAGUUAAAGGAAUACUUUUUUAAAAAUUGGUAAAUGAACUCGGUUUUAAGGAAGAAGAGCUCUGUUUUUAUCUAAGAUAACAUCUGUGGCUUUAAAUAUUUAAAUCCUCAUCUUUUUUAUUUGCAACCUAAAAUCAUUCUACAUAAAUAUCUUCAUUUAUUUGCAAUUUUUUCCUCCAGAAAUGACUAAUUUGAUAAUAACUGUCAUACAUUCUUUUUCUAAUAACAUAAAAUUACUGUUAUUCUCAGUGGCAUGACAUUAUUUUUCUUUUGGGUUAAGUUCACAGUAUCACAUGAAAAUAAUUUUUGGCCAAUGAUAUUUUGAGGGAAAGGCUUACUAUUCAUUCACUGUCCCAAAGUACAUUGCAUUGUGUGGCUUACACCUGUAAUCCCAGCACUUCUCUUAGUCACGUACAAUGUUCUACAAUGACUAUAUAAUAAAAUUUUAUGUUCUUGUAUGGUUUAUAAUAUUUUAAUAACUUAUUUUUUAUUAUAGAAGCAUUAUGUAUUCCUAGUGAGCAAUAUGGAAAAAUAAAUAAAAAAUACUAUAAUCUCACUGUUCCGAUAACUACAUCAAUAUUUUUAUGUGUAUCUUUUCAAACCUUUUAAUCUGCACAUAUGUUUAAUGAUAUGAGGUCAUACAAUGCAUACAAUUUUGUAACUCUGUCCAAUUAAUAUAUUAUGAACAUCUCUCCAUAGUGUUCUACAACAUUCUUUUAGAUUGUUCAUUAUUCUCAUGUAUGGAUAUAUAAUUAUUAAUUUCAGCUCUGGAUAGUUCCUUUUUUUUUUGCUAUUAGAAAAUAAUGGGGCCAGGCGUAACUCAUGCCUAUAAUCUGGGCAUUCUGGGAAGCUGAGGGGAAGGAUUGCUUGAGCCCAGGAAUUCAAGACCAGCCUGAGCAACACAGUGAGACCCCGUCUCUGCAAAUUAUAAAAAAAUUAGCCAGGCCUGGUGGCACAUACCUGUAGUUCCAGCUACUCAGGAGGCUGAGGUGGGAGAUCGUCUAAGCCGAGAAGAUCAAGACUGCAGUGAGCUGUGAUUGUGCCACUGCACACCAGCCUGGGUAAAAGAGUGAGACUUUGUCUCAAAAAGAAAAAAAAAAAAAAGAAAGAAAGAAAAAGGAAAUAGUGGUUUGCUGAAGAUCUUUUAGCUAAAUCUUUUUUUUAACCUGAAUUCUGUUUUAUUUUCUUGUGGUUUGUUGUUGUUGUCUUAAAGACAGGGUCAGGGCCGGGCGUAGUGGCUCACGCCUGUAACCCCAGCACUUUGGGAGGCCGAGGUGGGUGGAUCACGAGGUCAAGAGAUCGAGACCAUCCUGGUCAACAUGGUGAAACCCCGUCUCUACUAAAAAUAUAAAAAAUUAGCUGGGCGUGGUGGCGUGUGGCUGUAAUCCCAGCUACUCAGGAGGCUGAGGCAGGAGAAUUGCCUGAAGCCAGGAGGUGGAGGUUGCGGUGAGCCGAGAUCGCGCCAUUGCACUCCAGCCUGGGUAACAAGAGCAAAACUCCAUCUCAAAAAAAAAAAAAAAAAAAAGACAGGGUCUUGCUCUGUCACCUAGGGUGCAGUACAGUCGCAUAAUCCUAGCUCACUGCAGCCUCAGACUCAUGAGCCCAAGGAGUCCUCCUGCCUCAUCCUCCCAAGUAGCUGGGCAUACAGGCAUGUGCCACAACACCUGCUUUUUACUUUUUUGUAGAGAUGGGAUAUUGCUACGUUGCCCAGGCUGGCCUUGAACUUCUGGCCUCAAGCAAUCCUCCUGCCUCAGCCUCCCAAAGUGCUGGGAUUACAGAUGUGACUGAAUUAUUUUCUGAGAUAAAUUUUUAGAAGAGACAAUUCUGGGUCAAGGGGCAUGUAUGGACAUUUGUAAGAUACCGAUGUUUACCACACUUUCAGCAAUGUUAAUAAAGUAUGUGAAGUUAACUUUUCCCUGAACUCUCUUUAAUCAUAUGCAUUAUUAGUUUUAAAAAUCUCUGCUUAUUUAGUGUUUUUCUCCCCAUACUACUUUUUUUUCUCCUCCUAGAGCAAGUUGGUCUAUGUCAUAAACAGGAGAAGUCCACAUAAUGUUUUAUAGACAUGUGUAUUUAAUAAAUUUAAUAAAUGUUUUUAUUUCAUACUUUCGCCCCAAUUUUCAUUGCUCGCAUUUUAGAGUAAAUUCUAGAGGGCAGCAUUUUAAAAGUUGCUGUAUUUUUUUUAUUUUACUUCAAACAAAAGACGUACACGUUGUAGUUGCUCAAUGUGUUAUUUAACUGGAUCUCUAACCGUGUUAUAAAUGGUGCCUGUAGAAGGAUCUGGGGACAAGACCUUUAGGCUUUUUUUCUUUUUAAUCACAUCUUAAAGAUCUUGGAGAAUCUGAACUUAUAUAAGAAUGUUUGGGCUACUGUUAUUACAGUGAAACCUUCUGAGAGUAUCUUCACAGGUAAUUUUUUUUAGAGAAAGUCACUUACAGAUAUAAAACGUUUGACCAGGAGAAAGCCUCAGGUUGUCAGAGUUACUUACACACCAUUGUUCAGCUGGGGCCCUUUAUUAAAUCAUCUCUUGGCAGUCCAUUAGUUGUGGUGCUACAGCUAUUGCAUGGCUCACUAGGCUAAUAUACCUUCAGUCACUAACGGAAGGAUAACCUUAAUAAAAAUUUGAAGUCGAUUUAGUGCUUCACUGCUUGCUGACUAGUGUUUUACUUUUUAGUGUGUCUAUACAAUUUCCAUGCUGUGUAUUUUUGAUAUUAAUAUACAUCUUAGCUACAUAGUAUAUUAGAGUCAAAUAAAGAUUAAUGGUCUGGAGAAGGAAGGGUGUUUGGGAACUCUUCCUUGUAAUCCUGACUCAGCCGAGGUUAGACAUUGUGUGAUCUUGAGCAAGUCACUUCCCACAGUGGGCUGCUGUCUAAUCCUUAUGUAAAAUUAAGAAAUUUGGAAGAGAUUUCCUAAUAUUUAUUUCUGUACUACUUUGUUAUUUGUAGAAAAUUUAAACCACGUUCUGCCGAAUGUAGCACUUUGAAGCUUGUUUUAAACAUCAGCUAUAAUUUUACAAACAAAAAAGAAUUGCUAUGUUCUAUCCCAUAUCAAUAUUUGACAAACUAGGAUGAAGAAUAAAACAAAAGAAGAUCCACAUUAUUCAGUGAUAAGUGAUACAGGAGAAAGCUCACUUAAACUUAAUUAACUUUAAAAAAAUCAACAUUUUGUAGCAAUUACUGAAAAAUAUAUUUCUUUAGUCUUUAUUUAAAAAAAUAAAACUAAAUUAUGAAAAUAAGCUUAUUUUAUCGUUCACUUAACAAAAUUUACAUGAGAACUAUUCACUGAUUCUUGGCACGAAUGGAGAAAGAAUCAAAUGUUGCUUUUAGGGAGUGGAAGCUGAUGUAAUUUUCCUGAGAAAAUUACUUGAUGACUUGAUGUCAUAUCUUUCUCGUUCAUUUUUGUAAUAAUAAUUGUCUUCAUCAACUUUCACAGGUGCUCUUAUUUAAAAAAUAUCCUGAUCACUCCUUUUAAGCACCUAUCAUAUCUUCUUUUUUCUUCUCAUUGAGUUUGUUCUGAUUUUCAUGACUUACUUAAAUUCUGCAGGAUGGGUAGUUAGUUAUAUAGCGACUUGGUUAUGUUUUAUUUGUGAUAUAUUUACAAGGUGUUUAAAAUACUGUACAAUUAGUGAGAGUAAGCCAACCAAAGGUGGAAUGUAGAGAUAAAUAUUAUUGUGAAGUCGUUGGGGUGUGUGUACAGAAAGGGAAAAGGUUUUCCUAGGUAUGGUUUUAGAACUGGUCAGUUCAUUAGUGAGCCAUUCCCCACUGUGAUGUCUCUUGUUUCCUCGUACAACCUAGGUUCUUAAGGAACUUGGAGAAUGAAUACUUAAAUAAUGAAGGCUUACUGGGCCUUACUUUAUAUGAUAUUUUGUACCAUACCCACUGGUUUCAUGUGUGCCAUCUCAUUUAAUCCUCACAGUUUUGGUUUUUUUCUUUUGAGAUGGAGUCUUGCUCUGUCAUUAGGCAGUGGUGAGAUUUCGCUAACUGCAACUUCUGCCUCCUGGGUUCAAACAAUUAUUCUACCUCAGUCUCCCGAGUCUCUGCAGGUGCGCACCACCAUGCCCGGUUAAUUUUUGUGUUUUUAGUAGAGACAAGGUUUCAUCAUUGGGCCAGGAUGGUCUCAAUCUCUUGAUCUCAUGAUCCGCCCGCCUCAGCCUACGAAAGUGCUGGGAUUACAGGCAUGAGCCACUGUGCCCACCCUCACAAAAUUUUAUGAAGUUGGCAUUGUUUUUCUCAUUUAAUGAAAUGAAUAAAGUGAGAUGCAAUGAAUUUUCAUAGCUAAGUAUGUGACCAAGUUUUGAAAUCAGAUCUUCUGAUUCCAUUAUAAGUGCUUGUUCUAGUAUUUUAUAAAUGCCUCUGUGAUGAUUUUAAAUUAAAGUUUAUUUAACAUGAAAUCCUUAUCAUAUUUAAACAAAUGUGAAACGAGGGUAUCUUUUUUGAAUGUUAGGUAAAGUCUAGCAUCCAAAUCAUGUUACUGUUGAAAAUAAUGACUUGAAAAGACAUUUUUACAAAUCACAAGCAGAGCCCUGAAAUUUUUUCUUAGGUAGGAAGUAGUAACAGCAAU